RNAcentral lists this transfer RNA (73 nucleotides) under Defluviitoga tunisiensis. Its description in RNAcentral is "Thermotogaceae bacterium SulfLac1 tRNA". It matches the Rfam family "tRNA". From Rfam's summary of the family: Transfer RNA (tRNA) molecules are approximately 80 nucleotides in length. Their secondary structure includes four short double-helical elements and three loops (D, anti-codon, and T loops). The record is from Rfam by way of RNAcentral. Lineage: Bacteria; Thermotogati; Thermotogota; Thermotogae; Petrotogales; Petrotogaceae.
GCGGAUGUAGCUCAGUCGGAAGAGCAUCAGCUUCCCAAGCUGAGUGUCGCGGGUUCGAAUCCCGUCAUCCGCU